Molecule: long non-coding RNA, 461 nt
Filed under: Arabidopsis thaliana (thale cress)
Lineage: Eukaryota; Viridiplantae; Streptophyta; Magnoliopsida; Brassicales; Brassicaceae
Description: long non-coding RNA (ATHA_LNC000006)
Source: RNAcentral
AUAUAAUGGAUCUCAGAAAAACCUCUAUCACAUUUUUCCUUGUCAUAAUCUUGGCAAUUUCGUCAUUCAACAACAAUGUUUUGGCCGUCUCAGGUACGAUGCUUCUUACAAAAGAUUUACUUUUAUUUUAUUUUAAUAUUCUUUAACUAUAUCUGAACAUUUUUAGACACUACAAGAAAACAGUCGUUUUGCGAGGAACAAUUGCGAGAGAAUUGCAAGUAUUUUGCUACACCACGGACGAACGUUGCUAAUCCCUCGCAAAUAUUGCGAGAGACUGUUUCCUCGCAAAUUUGCGAGAAAUGUACGAGUACUUUGCAAUUAACAAUAUCAACCCUCGCAAACCACUCGCAAAAAUCUCGCAAACCUUUACCCUAAACCCUAAAAUACAUAGAAAUGAUUUGGGAUCUUUGAUUUUUAUUAAUAAAUGUAAAUCUAAAUGACUGUAUAAUCAUACAAGUUGA